CCGGUUGAUCCCGCCGGAGAUCACUGCUAUCAGGAUUCGAUUAAGCCGAUGCGAGUCGAGGGAGCUUAUACUCCCGGCAUACUGCUCAGUAACACGUGGAUAAUCUACCCUCGGGAGGGGGACAAGCUCGGGAAACUGAGUACAAUACCCCAUAGAUCAAGGACGCUGGAAUGCCCCUUGGUCCAAAUGAAUUUCGCCCGAGGAUGAAUCUGCGGCCUAUCAGGUUGUAGUGAGUGUAACGGACUCACUAGCCGACGACGGGUACGGGCCUUGAGAGAGGUUACCCGGAGAUGGAUUCUGAGACACGAAUCCAGGCCCUACGGGGCGCAGCAGGCGCGAAAACUUCGCAAUGCGGGAAACCGCGACGAGGGAAUCCUGAGUGCCUAUACAUUUGUAUAGGCUGUUUAUAUGCCUAAAAAGCUUGUAGAGUAAGAGCUGGGUAAGACCGGGCCAGCCGCCGCGGUAAUACCGGCAGCUCGAGUGGUGAUCGUUAUUACUGGGCCUAAAGCGUCCGUAGCCGGUUGAGUAAAUCCCUGGGUAAAUCGUGCAGCUUAACUGUACGGCUUCCGGGGCGACUGCUCGACUUGGGACCGGGAGAGGUUGGAGGUACUCCAGGGGUAGGGGUGAAAUCCUGUAAUCCUUGGGGGACCACCUGUGGCGAAGGCGUCCAACUAGAACGGCUCCGACGGUAAGGGACGAAGCCCUGGGUCGCAAACCGGAUUAGAUACCCGGGUAGUCCAGGGUGUAAACGCUGCGGACUUGGUGUUGGAGGUUCUACGAGUUCUUCCAGUGCCGGAGAGAAGUUUGUUAAGUCCGCCGCCUGGGGAGUACGGUCGCAAGACUGAAACUUAAAGGAAUUGGCGGGGGAGCACAGCAACGGGUGGAGCGUGCGGUUUAAUUGGAUUCAACGCCGG
Molecule: ribosomal RNA, 914 nt
Filed under: uncultured euryarchaeote
Lineage: Archaea; Methanobacteriati; Methanobacteriota
Description: bacterial SSU rRNA
Rfam family: Archaeal small subunit ribosomal RNA
Source: RNAcentral